CUUUGAUCCUUCUCCAAAUUAAGAGCAUAUCCUUAGUUCUUCUCAAGAGCUAAAGGAUAUUUUCACAGCAAUCCAGCACUCUCAGUCUGGAUACAACUGAUAUCUACUUGUGACAUUCACAGUAUAAUCAGUUCAAGUACUACUUAGCAUACGACUAUGCCCGAGAGGGUAGCAGACCCCUCUUUGAGAUUUCUAUGCAGAACUCUUUCAGCAUCCAGUCUCUGUAUUUUAUCUGUAAAAACAUAAGCAUCCAAUUGUAUCUAUCUCA
This 268-nucleotide long non-coding RNA is filed under the name Elaeis guineensis (African oil palm). RNAcentral describes it as "long non-coding RNA (EGUI_LNC031352)". The record is from RNAcentral. Lineage: Eukaryota; Viridiplantae; Streptophyta; Magnoliopsida; Arecales; Arecaceae.